Molecule: long non-coding RNA, 726 nt
Filed under: Gossypium raimondii (Peruvian cotton)
Lineage: Eukaryota; Viridiplantae; Streptophyta; Magnoliopsida; Malvales; Malvaceae
Description: long non-coding RNA (GRAI_LNC000746)
Source: RNAcentral
GAAACCUGAACUUGAGAACUAUUAUCAGAAUGUGCAGCCAUCUGCUGGAGAUACUUUGUAGAAGGGGGUACUGCCCCAGAAAGUAGCUUUUUCUGUGGCUGGGAAUGAUUCAUGGACUGAGAAGAAACUGGAGGUUUAGAUGGUUGGACAGGGCUCAUAACAGACCCAGAAUACAGGCCCUGACCUUGCAUUAAGUGCAUCAUCUGCUCUCCUUUCUCAGCAGCUUGGUUGCUAGAGGCCAUGCUAAGGCCAUUCAGAGGAGAAGGAUCAACAGAAAGGUUCUGAUGCACCUGCAUGUUCCCCCUCCCUGCUCCCUUCAAAAGUUUAGCUUGCUGCUGAGAUUGUGUUUGUUGCCGUUGCUGAGGGUGGUGCCUUCCAGAUUGUUGAAACUGCUGUUGUUGAAGCUGCCGCUGUUGUUGCUGGCCUAUCUGAUUGUUCAACCCACUAGCACCAGGUCGGGAACUCCUACCAAGCCCACGAGGCACCAAGUGGUUUUUUUGUUGCUGAUGUAAUGACAUAGGAGUUAUUGGCGUAGAUGGUGUUAGAGGGGAAAGCGAUACUGCCUGAGUUGAAGCUGGAGAUUGAAUCUGGGAACUACUCUGAAGAGAAGAUACGGGAAGUUGAGUCUGAGGUCGGACAUGUGGCUUCAAAGCAUUAGAUACAGCAAACUUUUGAUGUUGCUGAUGCAUAUGAGACUGCUGCUGCUGCUGCUGCUGCUGCUGCCUU